GCAGAACGCGAAGAACCUUACCAACCCUUGACAUGGGACGUAUGGACUUCAGAGAUGAGGUUCUUCAGUUCGGCUGGCGUCCACACAGGUGCUGCAUGGCUGUCGUCAGCUCGUGUCGUGAGAUGUUGGGUUAAGUCCCGCAACGAGCGCAACCCUCAUCUUCAGUUGCCAUCAUUUAGUUGGGCGACUCUGAAGAAACUGCCGGUGACAAGCCGGAGGAAGGCGGGGAGUGACGUCAAGUCCUCAUGGCCCGUUACGGGUUGGGCGUACACACGUGCUACAAUGGUGGUGACAAUGGGGAGCGAGGCCGCGAGGCCAAGCCAAUCUCAAAAAGCCAUCUCAGUUCGGAUUGCACUCUGCAACUCGAGUGCAUGAAGUUGGAAUCGCUAGUAAUCGCGCAUCAGCAUGGCGCGGUGAAUACGUUCCCGGGUCUUGUACACACCGGAGGUCGGUGGGGGAGGGCGAA
RNAcentral lists this ribosomal RNA (466 nucleotides) under uncultured bacterium. RNAcentral describes it as "bacterial SSU rRNA". It matches the Rfam family "Bacterial small subunit ribosomal RNA", at positions 954 to 1416 of the family's 1533-position model. The record is from RNAcentral.